Non-coding RNA from Phoenix dactylifera (date palm), 924 nucleotides. NCBI's taxonomy places the organism in Eukaryota, Viridiplantae, Streptophyta, Magnoliopsida, Arecales, Arecaceae. The record is from RefSeq and is a predicted model, not a curated record.
GUCCUCAACCGACAUACGUGUACGAUAGUGGACGGUGAUGGGAUCUCAGUGAUGGGAUAAGGCCGAGGACGGGGCUCUGGCUUUUUAACCCUCACCGGUUUUGGCCGGAGCCCACCGGUUUUAAGCUCCCGCGGCCGCCAAACCGCUCUAGACCCUCACGUAAUCCCAGGAGCAGAGCCCACCGUAACCCACCCUCUUUUAAUCAUUCUGUGAAUCCCUAUAAAUACGGAUUGCCCCCCAAAAAAUCCCUAAGAACGUCCGCCGUAAGGUUUGUGAAGGAGACUAUAUCUCGCUUUCUGUAACCAUCGUCGAGGAGGGUUCGAGUUUGAAGGAAGGAAAGAUGAUACUGGUGGCGAUAGUGGCGGAGCUGCUGCAGGAGUACACGAUGCUGGUGGCGAGGGUGCUGGAGCAGCUGCUCAACGACGCCCCCUUCCCCCGCCGGAUGCGCUUCCUGAUGCUCAGAAGCAUCCCCUUCGCCUCCCCGCCCCGCCCCCUCCCUCCGCCCGCCUACGCCCGUCCCGCAGCCGCAGCCCCCCGUUGAUCGGUUCGGAUGUUAGGGUUAGGGUUCUUCGCGGCCUGGAUCGGGCUUGCUUUUAUUGAGGAUGCGCAAAAAGGUAGCCUAUGAGCAAAUCAGACCACGUAUUAAGCUUCGGUUACUUUUCUUAUGAGAUACCAUGGAUAGAAAACAACAAUGAUCUGGAUAUAAUUUUCAAAAUGUUCAGCAGCAUGCUUGCUAAGUUCGACAGAUCCUGUUCUAAUAAAUCAUGGGGAAAGUUCCUUACUUCCUCCAUUUUGCAUUCGAAAGAAAAACAAAAAAAUGUUCGACAAAUCUUUUGCAACAUAUGAUGAUGGUAAUGUUCCACACCAAAUUGUGGGCUAUGGUUGCUAAGAGACAAUAUUCAAAAUUUUGCUGUGGUUCUUGGA